This 22-nucleotide small nuclear RNA is filed under the name Arabidopsis thaliana (thale cress). RNAcentral describes it as "snRNA_07619". Lineage: Eukaryota; Viridiplantae; Streptophyta; Magnoliopsida; Brassicales; Brassicaceae. The record is from RNAcentral.
CCAAGGCUCGCUUCGGCGGGUC